AGGACGAACGCUGGCGGCGUGCUUAACACAUGCAAGUCACGGGGGCCCGUGGCAAUACGGGCAACCGGCGAACGGGUGCGUAACACGUGAGCAAUCUGCCGAUCUCUGGGGGAUAGCCAGCCUAACGGCUGGGUAAUACCGCAUACGCUCGUUGGGGGGAGUCCCCUGAUGAGGAAACCUCCGGGGGAGAUCGAGGAGCUCGCGACCUAUCAGCUAGUUGGCGGGGUAACGGCCCACCAAGGCAGCGACGGGUAGCUGGUCUGAGAGGAUGGCCAGCCACAUUGGGACUGCGACACGGCCCAGACUCCUACGGGAGGCAGCAGUGGGGGAAUAUUGCGCAAUGGACGAAAGUCUGACGCAGCGACGCCGCGUGUGGGAUGAAGCCUUUCGGGGUGUAAACCACUGUUGCCCGGGACGAAACUCCUCUUUCGAGAGGAUUGACGGUACCGGGUGAGGAAGCACCGGCUAACUCUGUGCCAGCAGCCGC
Molecule: ribosomal RNA, 487 nt
Filed under: uncultured bacterium
Lineage: Bacteria
Description: SSU rRNA
Rfam family: Bacterial small subunit ribosomal RNA
Source: RNAcentral